Papaver somniferum (opium poppy) is the source of this 1991-nucleotide long non-coding RNA. RefSeq lists it as uncharacterized. NCBI's taxonomy places the organism in Eukaryota, Viridiplantae, Streptophyta, Magnoliopsida, Ranunculales, Papaveraceae. The record is from RefSeq and is a predicted model, not a curated record. The transcript is spliced from 5 exons.
UCGGUGUGGGAACCAAAAAUUGAGUUCCACUUUGCGUCGUUGACAUAACCAAACCAAAAUCGAGUUGCUUAACAAAAAACAGUGAGACACAACAAAUUUUCUUUAUCCUUCUGCGCUAAAUCAAACCCUAGGCUUCUCAUCGAAUCAAAAGAAAAGUCAAUCAAAUUCGAAUCCAAUUGAUUAAAUACCCAUCGUCUGAUUGAUUUGUCUUUGUUUCUUUAACUCAUUAAAUUCAGAGAAACUUGAAGAGAAGUAAUAACGAUGAAGGAGAUUUAUUUCUGACCAAAUUCGUUUUCAACUCAGUCAUAUCGUUUCUGGUUCUUUAACCAAAUUAUGAUAUUUACGAAAUUCGUGAAUAAAUGGAUCAAAAGAAAACUUUCGCCUGUGAAGGGAGGAACUCCCUUGUUCUACCAAGUGAGGCGUCCACAUCGAAGAAAAAAUACCAUGUCGUAGAAGAUGAUGAAUAUUGCAUUACCAGAAGUGGGGAUGAAAAUACCAACUCUUGGUAACUUGGUAGCAGCCCUAGUGAAGCCGAUGCCGAAGCCAUUAUAAAUAAUAGAAAAAAAGAAUAAAGGAACAUCUCAGGAGGAAUAUGACUUAGACAAAGUUCUAGCCGAGCACGAUAAUGCUCCCAUUGUUUCAAAACUUACUGCUUCUCCGACAGAAGAAAAGGUUCAAGAUCAACCUGAACAGUUAGUCUCGGUUGAUGCUACUGGAUGGGAGAAGGAAGCGGAGGCAGAAACCGGGAAGUCUGUGGCAGCAAAGAAGAACAAAAAGGAGAAGGAGAAAAAGGCAGCUGCUGCAGCUGUAGAGGGAGUUCAGGAUGCAACGCAGGAGGAAACAAAGAGUCAAAAACGUGAUGACAAGCACCCUAAUCAUGUUAUAAAAAUGCAGGAGGCUUUGCAAAGGCGUAAAGAACUUGAAGAGAGAAGGAGGAGGGAAGAGGAAGAGAAAGAAAGGAAGGAGGAAGAAAGCCACCUCAGGCAAGAGGAACUCGAAAAACAAGCAGAAAAAGCCAAGCGAAGGAAAAAGAAAAAGAGAGGAUGCUGAUGAGAAAGAAGGAAGGGAAGCCUAUAACAAGGAAGCAGAAAAAUGAAGCUUGUCGGCUUGAACUAAUUUAGGUUUUAGAAAAUCCCCCAUUCUGAUCUGAAUGGUAGUUUUGAAAUCAGUGACUUGGUGCUUGAUAUUUGAUACAUUGAGUUUCUUUAAUGCCAAGCAACUUUGACUUCUUGACUAGCAUACGAGCAAUAUUUAGUGUAUGCUGAAUCCACAUGAGUCAAACAUGGAGUUUGGUGAGUAAAAGGCAUUAUUUAGGUCACACUUCACAAUAACCUUUUGUAUUUUCUUAGUUUUGUGUUAUUAUACUAAUUGUUGAACCCAAGUUGUCUGUUCAUUUUGAAAGGGUCUGUGUCUGUUCAUUUUUCUGCAUGUUCUGCAACUGCUGGAGAAACUAAAUAAUUUUUUCUAUGGUUGGUUAAUUUUAGUUAGGAGCUGGGCAGACAUGCUUGUCACUGGAGAAACUGAGGCUCGAUUGCCACUGUAGUGUAUCAUUUGCUGAUCUAGUUGAUGUGAGGCAUGCUCUUGCAAUGAUUUUUGAGUUGGCAUCUAAAUAUCCUUAUUCUAGAUCGCAUGCAUUAGAGGUUCUACUUCGAUUGACGUGCCUGCAGAAGAUAUGAUUUUUAGUGAUUCUGCUAAGGGUUAAACCCCCAAGGAAGCUAAACAGGAAGGGCUCUCGACUUGGACAUGAUAGCAUAGUUGAUGGAGUGCUUAAAGAUGGCCUGUGCGAUGUUUAUAAUGAGUUUGGCGUGGGUGUUUGUGAUGAGAUAUGUGCCAAUCAUCAUUCAAUAACCAGAGCAGAACAUGUAUUAUUCUAAAGUCAAUAUGUAUUGAGAAUUUCUCUGAUUUGGUUUCUUCUGGGCUAUGGUUGAUCCUUCCUGUACGGUUAUAUAUUGUCAACUAUUGUCGCCAUCAUUAAAAAUAUAAUUUUGUGA